UCCGAGAUGUAAUACAAGAAG
This 21-nucleotide non-coding RNA is filed under the name Caenorhabditis elegans. The record is from RNAcentral. Lineage: Eukaryota; Metazoa; Nematoda; Chromadorea; Rhabditida; Rhabditidae.